RNAcentral lists this small nuclear RNA (18 nucleotides) under Arabidopsis thaliana (thale cress). Its description in RNAcentral is "snRNA_00671". Lineage: Eukaryota; Viridiplantae; Streptophyta; Magnoliopsida; Brassicales; Brassicaceae. The record is from RNAcentral.
UCCAAGGUGAACAGCCUC